This 253-nucleotide ribosomal RNA is filed under the name uncultured bacterium. RNAcentral describes it as "partial 16S ribosomal RNA". It matches the Rfam family "Bacterial small subunit ribosomal RNA", at positions 524 to 776 of the family's 1533-position model. The record is from RNAcentral.
UACGUAGGGUGCGAGCGUUAAUCGGAAUUACUGGGCGUAAAGCGUGCGCAGGCGGUUCGUUGUGUCGGUGGUGAAAGCCCCGGGCUUAACCUGGGAAUGGCCAUGGAAACUGGCGAACUGGAGUGUGGCAGAGGGGGGUGGAAUUCCGCGUGUAGCAGUGAAAUUCGUAGAGAUGCGGAGGAACACCGAUGGCGAAGGCAGCCCCCUGGGCUGACACUGACGCUGAGAAGCGAAAGCAUGGGGAGCGAACAGG